CCCAGUGGCGGACGGGUGAGUAACGCGUGGGCAACCUGCCCCGUGCCGGGGGAUACCGCCUGGAAACAGGCGCUAAUACCGCAUAAGCGCAUACAGCCGCAUGGGUGUAUGCGGAAAGCUCCGGCGGCACGGGAUGGGCCCGCGCCCGAUUAGCCAGUUGGCGGGGUAACGGCCCGCCAAAGCGACGAUCGGUAGCCGGCCUGAGAGGGCGGACGGCCACAUUGGGACUGAGACACGGCCCAAACUCCUACGGAAGGCAGCAG
RNAcentral lists this ribosomal RNA (263 nucleotides) under uncultured bacterium. Its description in RNAcentral is "partial 16S ribosomal RNA". It matches the Rfam family "Bacterial small subunit ribosomal RNA", at positions 91 to 354 of the family's 1533-position model. The record is from RNAcentral.